UGCGUAGGCGGCGCGGUAAGUCGGGUGUGAAAUCUCGGAGCUUAACUCCGAAACUGCAUUCGAUACUGCCGUGCUUGAGGACUGGAGAGGAGACUGGAAUUUACGGUGUAGCGGUGAAAUGCGUAGAUAUCGUAAGGAAGACCAGUGGCGAAGGCGGGUCUCUGGACAGUUCCUGACGCUGAGGCAAGGCCAGGGGAGCAAACG
This 204-nucleotide ribosomal RNA is filed under the name uncultured bacterium. RNAcentral's name for it is "partial 16S ribosomal RNA". It matches the Rfam family "Bacterial small subunit ribosomal RNA", at positions 568 to 774 of the family's 1533-position model. The record is from RNAcentral.